Molecule: ribosomal RNA, 160 nt
Filed under: uncultured soil bacterium
Lineage: Bacteria
Description: partial 16S ribosomal RNA
Rfam family: Bacterial small subunit ribosomal RNA
Source: RNAcentral
AGAACGAACGCUGGCGGCAUGCCUAAUACAUGUAAGUCGAACGAAGGCUUCGGCCUUAGUGGCGCACGGGUGCGUAACGCGUGGGAAUCUGCCCCUUGGUUCGGAAUAACAGUUGGAAACGACUGUUAAUACCGGAUGAUGACGAAAGUCCAAAGAUUUA